RNAcentral lists this ribosomal RNA (424 nucleotides) under Salmonella enterica subsp. enterica serovar Anatum. RNAcentral's name for it is "bacterial SSU rRNA". It matches the Rfam family "Archaeal small subunit ribosomal RNA", at positions 322 to 746 of the family's 1478-position model. The record is from RNAcentral. Lineage: Bacteria; Pseudomonadati; Pseudomonadota; Gammaproteobacteria; Enterobacterales; Enterobacteriaceae.
CCUACGGGGGGCAGCAGUUAAGAAUCAUCUGCAAUGCGCGCAAGCGUGACAGAGCGAGCCAGAGUGUUGUUCUUUUUUGAACGACUUUUGCUAAAUGUAAAAAGUUUGGCGAAUAAGGACUGGGAAAGACUGGUGCCAGCCGCCGCGGUAAUACCAGCAGUCCAAGUCGCAGCCACAUUUAUUGGGUCUAAAACAUCCGUAGCUUGCUUUGCAAGUCUCUUGUGAAAUCCUAUAUCUUAAGUAUAGGGCAUGCAAGAGGUACUGCAUUGCUAGAGACUGGUAGACGUAAGAAGAAUGUAUUGGGUAUCGGUAAAAUGAGUUGAUCCUUUACAGACUAACGACAGCGAAGGCAUCUUACGAGAACAGUUCUGACAGUGAGGGAUGAAGGCUAGGGGCGCAAAACGGAUUAGAUACCCUUGUAGUC